Molecule: non-coding RNA, 279 nt
Organism: Zootoca vivipara (common lizard)
Lineage: Eukaryota; Metazoa; Chordata; Lepidosauria; Squamata; Lacertidae
Source: RefSeq, a predicted model, not a curated record
GGAAUAGGAGCACUGCUCGUAAGGUGACCGGCAGGAGAGGAAAGGGAAGACUCCUUAAGAUUUUCCGGAGAGGUCCGAGCUGGCUGCAUUUAGUUUUCAGGAAACUGGAUUGUGCUUUUACUGCUUUAAUUUUGGGAAAUUUUGAGGAGUCUUACAUUUCUAAUCCUCCAGUCAUCGAUCCAUUUUGGCGUUGAAAAUUGGUAGGGAUAAAAGGCAACUCAUUUCCUGGCCUUUGACAAUCUAGUUAAGUAUCUGACUGACAGGAUGUUGGCACCAGCU